AUUGAACGCUGGCGGCAGGCUUAACACAUGCAAGUCGAGCGGGGUGAUGGUGCUUGCACUAUCACUUAGCGGCGGACGGGUGAGUAAUGCUUAGGAAUCUGCCUAUUAGUGGGGGACAACAUCUCGAAAGGGAUGCUAAUACCGCAUACGUCCUACGGGAGAAAGUAGGGGAUCACUUGUGACCUUGCGCUAAUAGAUGAGCCUAAGUCGGAUUAGCUAGUUGGUGGGGUAAAGGCCUACCAAGGCGACGAUCUGUAGCGGGUCUGAGAGGAUGAGCCCCCACACUGGGACUGACACACGGCCCUGACUCCGACGGGAGGCAGCAGUGGGGAAUAUUGGACAAUGGGGGGAACCCUGAUCCAGCCAUGCCGCGUGUGUGAAGAAGGCCUUAUGGUUGUAAAGCACUUUAAGCGAGGAGGAGGCUCUUUUGGUUAAUACCCAAGAUGAGUGGACGUUACUCGCAGAAUAAGCACCGGCUAACUCUGUGCCAGCCGCCGCGGUAA
This 503-nucleotide ribosomal RNA is filed under the name uncultured bacterium. RNAcentral describes it as "partial 16S ribosomal RNA". It matches the Rfam family "Bacterial small subunit ribosomal RNA", at positions 30 to 523 of the family's 1533-position model. The record is from RNAcentral.